CGCGUAGGCGGCCCGGCAAGUCCGCUGUGAAAGUCAAGGGCUCAACCCUUGAAUGCCGGUGGAUACUGCCGGGCUAGAGUCCGGAAGAGGCGAGUGGAAUUCCUGGUGUAGCGGUGAAAUGCGCAGAUAUCAGGAGGAACACCGAUGGCGAAGGCAGCUCGCUGGGACGGUACUGACGCUGAGGCGCGAAAGCGUGGGGAGCAAACA
RNAcentral lists this ribosomal RNA (207 nucleotides) under uncultured bacterium. RNAcentral's name for it is "partial 16S ribosomal RNA". It matches the Rfam family "Bacterial small subunit ribosomal RNA", at positions 568 to 774 of the family's 1533-position model. The record is from RNAcentral.